RNAcentral lists this unclassified non-coding RNA (386 nucleotides) under Hevea brasiliensis (rubber tree). Lineage: Eukaryota; Viridiplantae; Streptophyta; Magnoliopsida; Malpighiales; Euphorbiaceae. The record is from RNAcentral.
GCUUGAAGGAUAAUGAAGCUAGCACAUUUAAGGGCAUUUGACUAUUAGUGUUACUACAUGUAAAUUUUGUUUGGUUUCAGUUCACACAUUCACAUUAUCAAUGGAAAUUACAGAUCAUUAUUUUGUAGGGCAAUAUCUCACUACAUAUGAAGCAUCAAGCAUGUGUACUAAUUUUUAAACCUUAAUUUCAAAUAUGCAAAUGAAAAAUCUUGAGCGAAAAUGAUCAAGGAAAUAAUAAAGUUAGCACGUAUAUAACUGUUAGUGUUAGUACAAUACAUUUUCAUCAAUCUCGAGAAUGCAUAGCACAGUAAUUGAAUGGGAUUUACAGUGAGGAUUAAUAUUUCUAUAUGAUGUUUUAUAAUUAUUUUCUUUUAAUAAACAUACAU